AAUUGCGAUGUACAUCUCUUGUGACCCUUACGGGGAGCUCUAGGGUUUCUCCAGUAUAGGGUUUUACUCUUUCCUCUCCUUAUAAUCUAUCAAACUUUUUUAGGGUUUUUUUCUUCUAAUAAGCGCCGCCCUUAAGAUCGCCUUCCAUAUAAAAUGGAAGCGUUUUGAGUCAUAGCUGCGCAAUAUUGAACUUUCUUUUAGGAGAUUUUCAAAAGGGUUCUCCUAUUGAAUUUCUCUUUAUACUCCCACCUGAAUUUUCUUCAUGAGGCAUUUUUUUCUUUGGAUCUGUUUGCUUUUCCUGUUUUUUAAACUGCUAGGUAUGUAAUAGUGUUAAAACCUUUUCUUAUCUAUGCUUGUUUCAAUCAAUGGGAGCUACAGAUCCUCUGAUAUUCAUGUGAAUGGUUCAUUAUUAGGCGGGAAACAAUUAAACCCUUCUUUAUUUUUUGUUCAUCGUUACUUUUUUGAGUUGGGUUGAUUUUUGUUUAGCUCAAUUGGGCUAAAAGAUUCAUGAAGUUGGCAAAGAUGAUGAAUCAAUUAGAUGUGUGAAUGGAGCUUAAUCUAUAUUGAACUCAACUUUUUGAGGCAUAUUUAAUCGUCUGAUUUGCUUGUGUUUUAGAAAUUACUUGUGUCGCAAAUAUGUAAUUUGGCGAUUGGAGUUUUUGGAGGUCGUUGAUGAUAAAUUCGAAGGCUUGUUUCUCAAAACAUUCGCAGUGGCCGCCUAAGUGCUUUCGCCUUCGCCAGGCUUGAGAGCGCAUGCUGCUUUUAUCCUUCCUUGGAUGUCUGAGAUCUCAAUUCAAUCUUAUUAUAGUGCCAUAUCGGUUAUAUGAUUGAAGGAAAUAUUUUCUCAAAAUAUUUUUAUAUUCUUUAAAUCUCAGUUGAUGAUGACAAAUCCGAAGGCUUGUUUCUCAAAACAUUCGCAGUGGCCGCCUAAGAGCUUUCGCCUUUGCGAGGCUUGAGAGCUUAUGCUGCUUUGUCCUUCCUUGGAUGUCUGAAACUCUAAUCCACUUAUUGCAUUUAACUCAAUAGUUUUUGUUUAUAAGGGCACUUGUAAUUUGCAGCAUACAUUUGGUGACAUCGAUUGGGAUAUAUAAAUCAAAGGAGUUGACUUUUGGAGCUAGUUCUUCUCUUAUCCCUGGAUGCUUGAAGCAGUUAUCUUCUGUACACUUAAUGUUGUGUUGUGACCGGGAUCCUAUUAUGGAAGAGGUUCAACUUGUAAUGAUAGCGUCUAUGAUAUUUGUAAAGGAUGGUUUCCUCUUGUCCGCCAAGUAUUGUAUUCUCCAUUUUACAAUUGUCUUUUCUACUAUUGUGGCCGUGGUUGAACAGGGCUUUGUAAUCCCGAGACCUUGGCAUGAUGGUUCAAUAAAUGUGGCAGUGUAUUCUUUGUCAAGAA
Long non-coding RNA from Populus nigra (black poplar), 1390 nucleotides. RefSeq lists it as uncharacterized. The record is from RefSeq and is a predicted model, not a curated record. The transcript has 2 exons. Lineage: Eukaryota; Viridiplantae; Streptophyta; Magnoliopsida; Malpighiales; Salicaceae.